AGAGUUUGAUUAUGGCUCAGGAUGAACGCUAGCUACAGGCUUAACACAUGCAAGUCGAGGGGCAGCAUUGGAGUAGCAAUACUCAGAUGGCGACCGGCGCACGGGUGAGUAACACGCAUCCAACCUGCCGCUUACUCGGGGAUAGCCUUUCGAAAGAAAGAUUAAUACCCGAUGGUAUAAAGAGUUCGCAUGUUCUCUUUAUUAAAGAAUUUCGGUAAGCGAUGGGGAUGCGUUCCAUUAGAUAGUUGGCGGGGUAACGGCCCACCAAGUCUACGAUGGAUAGGGGGUUCUGAGAGGAAGGUCCCCCACAUUGGAACUGAGACACGGUCCAAACUCCUACGGGAGGCAGCAGUGAGGAAUAUUGGUCAAUGGACGAGAGUCUGAACCAGCCAAAAGUAGCGUGAAGGAUGACUGCCCUAUGGGUUGUAAACUUCUUUUAUAAGGGAAUAAAGUGAGGGACGUGUCCCUUUUUGUAUGUACCUUAUGAAUAAGGAUCGGCUAACUCCGUGCCAGCAGCCGC
RNAcentral lists this ribosomal RNA (520 nucleotides) under uncultured bacterium. RNAcentral describes it as "bacterial SSU rRNA". It matches the Rfam family "Bacterial small subunit ribosomal RNA", at positions 8 to 518 of the family's 1533-position model. The record is from RNAcentral.